This 250-nucleotide ribosomal RNA is filed under the name uncultured bacterium. Its description in RNAcentral is "partial 16S ribosomal RNA". It matches the Rfam family "Bacterial small subunit ribosomal RNA", at positions 524 to 773 of the family's 1533-position model. The record is from RNAcentral.
UACGUAGGGAGCAAGCGUUGUCCGGAUUUACUGGGUGUAAAGGGUGCGUAGGCGGCAAAGCAAGUCAGGAGUGAAAUCUAUGGGCUUAACCCAUAAACUGCUUUUGAAACUGUUUUGCUUGAGUGAGGUAGAGGUAGGCGGAAUUCCCGGUGUAGCGGUGGAAUGCGUAGAGAUCGGGAGGAACACCAGUGGCGAAGGCGGCCUACUGGGCCUUAACUGACGCUGAGGCACGAAAGCGUGGGUAGCAAAC